CCUACGGGAGGCAGCAGUGGGGAAUAUUGCACAAUGGGGGAAACCCUGAUGCAGCGACGCCGCGUGAAGGAAGAAGGAUUUCGGUAUGUAAACUUCUAUCAUCAGGGAAGAAAAUGACGGUACCUGACUAAGAAGCCCCGGCUAACUACGUGCCAGCAGCCGCGGUAAUACGUAGGGGGCAAGCGUUAUCCGGAUUUACUGGGUGUAAAGGGAGCGUAGGCGGUUUAGCAAGUCAGAAGUGAAAGCCCGGGGCUCAACUCCGGGACUGCUUUUGAAACUGUUGAACUAGAGUGCAGGAGAGGUAAAUGGAAUUCCUAGUGUAGCGGUGAAAUGCGUAGAUAUUAGGAGGAACACCAGUGGCGAAGGCGGCUUACUGGACUGUAAAUGACGCUGAGGCUCGAAAGCGUGGGGAGCAAACAGGAUUAGAUACCCGUGUAGUC
This 440-nucleotide ribosomal RNA is filed under the name uncultured bacterium. Its description in RNAcentral is "partial 16S ribosomal RNA". It matches the Rfam family "Bacterial small subunit ribosomal RNA", at positions 338 to 795 of the family's 1533-position model. The record is from RNAcentral.